Molecule: long non-coding RNA, 2393 nt
Organism: Oncorhynchus tshawytscha (Chinook salmon)
Lineage: Eukaryota; Metazoa; Chordata; Actinopteri; Salmoniformes; Salmonidae
Source: Ensembl
UACCAUUGGCUGCUGGCUUACCAUUGGCUGCUGGCUUACCAUUGGCUGCUGGCUUACCAUUGGCUGCUGGCUUACCAUUGGCUGGUUGGUUGUGAACUGCAGACUACUACUGGACUCUCUUCCUCCUUUGGACUGAAGCAACUGUCUAUUGAUAUGUAAUGUGUUUCCUUGUUUGAAAUACUGUAUUACGUUGACAAAAAGAUGUCAUAGACAUUUUAAUAGCUACUGACAUGUUGGGUAGGCCCAGGGGAAGGCCAUAUUACGGCCAUGCUUACCUGAUAUCGGGUUAUUAUGGCCUUGAUUACUUGAUAUCGGGUUAUUACGGCCUUGGUUACUUGAUAUCGGGUUAUUACGGCCUUGGUUACUUGAUAUCGGGUUAUUACGGCCUUGGUUACUUGAUAUCGGGUUAUUACGGCCUUGGUUACUUGAUAUCGGGUUAUUACGGCCUUGGUUACUUGAUAUCGGGUUAUUACGGCCUUGGUUACUUGAUAUCGGGUUAUUACGGCCUUGGUUACUUGAUAUCGGGUUAUUAUGGCCUUGGUUACUUGAUAUGGGGUUAUUAUGGCCUUGGUUACUUGGUGGCAGGGUAGCCUAGUGGUUAGAGCGUUGGUCUAGUAACAGGAAGAUUGCAAGUUCAAACCCCCGAGCUGACAAGGUACAAAUCUGUCAUUCUGCCCCUGAACAGGCAGUUAAACCCACUGUUCCUAGACCGUCAUUGAAAAUAAGAAUUUGUUCUUAACUGACUUGCCUAGUUAAAUAAAGGUUAAAUAAAUAUUGGGUUAUUAUGGCCUUGGUUACUUGAAGUGCUAGGUGGUGGUGAUGACCACGGACUGAACUUGAUUAUUGGGUGUGUCCCAAAUUGUACCAUAUUUCCUACGUAGUGCACUAUAUUGGGAGUGGACAUUAUGUUCAUAUUUUAUAUAUUUUAUGCCUCUUGUGUUUCAGGAAUCAUUGAUUUGCCGAUAAAUCGUAUCUUACUUUCGUAUUGAGUUUUGUCAUCGUUGUUGAAGGGAACUAUGAUCAUGCUAGCCUGAGUUCUAGACUGAGUGCCAGUCUGUCUGUGCUGUCAUGCCAACUCCUUGUCACUCAUUUAGCUUGACAAUGACAGCAUUGGAGUUAUCAAGAGAACAAACUGAUCUGGGACCAGGCUCUGCUCACCAGCUGACAACUCCAAUUUUUUAAAUGUUUAAAAGCUUUGACAUGAUGAGACCGGUCAGAAAUAUGCAGCGUCCCAUAAAACAACCCAGACCAGAACCGUAGGCCUGAUCACCGACAACGACGAGACAGCCUAUAGGGAGGAGGUCAGAGACCUGGCCGUGAGGUGCCAGGACAACAACCUCUCCCUCAACGACGAGACAGCCUAUAGGGAGGAGGUCAGAGACCUGGCCGUGAGGUGCCAGGACAACAACCUCUCCCUCAACGACGAGACAGCCUAUAGGGAGGAGGUCAGAGACCUGGCCGUGUGGUGCCAGGACAACAACCUCUCCAUCAACGUGAUCAAGACAAAGGGGAUGAUUGUGGACUACAGGGAAAAAAAGGACUAAGCACGCCCCCAUUCUCAUCGCCGGGGCUGCAGUGGAGCAGGUUGAGAGCUUCAAGUUCCUUGGUGUCCACAUCACCAACAAACUAACAUGGUCCAAGCACACCAAGAUAAGAGAAGAGGGCAAAACAAAACCUAUUCCCCCUCAGGAGACAAAAUAUUUGUCAUGGGUCCUCAGAUCCUCAAAAGGUUCUACAGCUGCACCAUCGAGAGCAUCCUGACUAGUUGCAUCAAUGCCUGUUAUGGUAACUGCUCGGCCUCCGACCGUAAGCCACUACAGAGGGUAAUGCGUAUGGCCCAGUACAUCACUGGGGACAAGCUUCCUGCCAUCCAGGACCUCUAUACCAGGCUGCGUCAGAGGAAGGCCCUAAAAAUUGUCAGACUCCAGCCACUCUAGUCUUUCUCUCUGCUACCGCAUGGCAAGCGGUACCAGAGUGCCAAGUCUAGGUCCAAGAGGCUCCUAAACAGCUUCUACCCCCAAGCCAUAAGUCUCCUGAACAACUAAUCAAAUGGCUCCCCAGACUAUUUGCAUUGCCCCCCUCUUUUACACCACUGUUACUCUCUGUUGUUAUCAUCUAUGCAUUGUCACUUUAAUAACUCUAUGUACAUAUUACCUCAACUAACCGGUGCCCCGGCACAUUGACUCUGUACCGGUGCCCCCUGUAUAUAGCCUCCACAUUGACUCUGUACCGGUACCCCCUGUAUAUAGCCUCCACAUUGACUCUGUACCGGUUCCCCCUGUAUAUAGCCUCCACAUUGACUCUGUACCGUAAUACCCUGUAUAUAGCCUCCACAUUGACUGUACCGUAACACCCUAUAUAUAGCCUCCACAUUGACUCUGUACUGGUACCCC